This 214-nucleotide ribosomal RNA is filed under the name uncultured bacterium. RNAcentral describes it as "partial 16S ribosomal RNA". It matches the Rfam family "Bacterial small subunit ribosomal RNA", at positions 524 to 732 of the family's 1533-position model. The record is from RNAcentral.
UACGUAGGGUGCAAGCGUUAAUCGGAAUUACUGGGCGUAAAGCGUGCGCAGGCGGUUUUGUAAGUCUGUCGUGAAAUCCCCCGGGCUCAACCUGGGAAUUGCGAUGGAGACUGCAAGGCUAGAAUCUGGCAGAGGGGGGUAGAAUUCCACGUGUGAGCAGUGAAAAUGCGUGAGAGAGUGUGGAGGAACACCGAUGGCGAAGGCAGCCCCCUGG